GGUCAGUGAUAGUAGUUUGCAAAAGGAAUUUUCAAGUUUUGGUGAAAUAGCUGAAGUUAAGCUUGUCAAAGAUGAAAUCACAAAGAGACCUAAAGCAUAUGCAUUUAUUCAAUAUACUUGUCAAGAUGAUGCCAUUCUAGCACUGGAGAAUAUGGACCAAAAGAUAUUUGAUGGCAGAUUGAUUUAUGUUGAACUUGCCAAACCUGGGAAAGGAAGUUUUGAAGGAUACCCAAAAGCCUCAGGUCCUCCAAAGCAGCAUUUGCAGGAAAAAGAUGAGGUUGCAGAUUGCUGGUACUGAUCAAAUUCAUUUUGAUAACUUGAAGUCACUGAAGUAGGAAAAAUUGUAAUUCAAGGAACGGGGCAAAAUGGAGUGCUACUGCUCAUAUAGAAUUGUUUCAAGAAAUCUGCAACCGAUAACAUAUCAUCUUGAAGCCACAUCAGAUCACCGC
This 449-nucleotide unclassified non-coding RNA is filed under the name Hevea brasiliensis (rubber tree). The record is from RNAcentral. Lineage: Eukaryota; Viridiplantae; Streptophyta; Magnoliopsida; Malpighiales; Euphorbiaceae.